Molecule: non-coding RNA, 803 nt
Organism: Macaca mulatta (Rhesus monkey)
Lineage: Eukaryota; Metazoa; Chordata; Mammalia; Primates; Cercopithecidae
Source: RefSeq, a predicted model, not a curated record
CCUUGCCUCCCAAAGUGUUGAGAUUACAGGCGUGAGCCACCACGCCCGGCCUCGCUGUUUCUUUUCUAGGUUAAAAGGACACUCACUUAUCUAAGUUGAGAUUGGGGGAAAUAAUCACCUUUUGUGUCCUCAGCUGUAGCUUAGGAAUAUUUCUCAGUUGUUUUAGAGCAUUUCUCAGGUGUGAUCCAUGGGGCCACCUGCAUAUAUGCAUUUAUGACCUGGGAUGCUUGUUAAAAUACAGAUUCCUAGUCCUCAGUCCAGACCUACUGAGUUAAAAUAUUGAGGAGAGAUGGAGCUCAACAGAUGUCCUAGGUGACUCUGAUGUGGUCUAAGUCUGGGGAAACAGUACACACUGCAGUGCUUCUCCAACCUAACAGAAAUGCGGAUUCUGAUUCGAUUUCCAUGGAAGUGGAGCUACGUAACUUCUGAGGCUAAGUCAUAAUGGGCCAUGCUGCUGCCACUGUAACAGACACUCUUGGAACCCUGCGUGCCAUUUAAGAAGACUGACCAUCCUGAGUCCAUCAUGCUGGGGUCACCAAGGUGCUCUGAUUGACACUCCUAGCUGGGACUGCCUUUCAUUUUUCUCAGACUUCCCAGCCCAGGCACCAGACACAUGAGUGAAAGAGUCGUUGGAUGUGGGCCCUUCAGCCUAGGCUGUUUCCAGAUCCCAACCAUUUGAGUCCUCCCCAGCAGUUCAGAUCAUCUGAGCUGUGGCCCCAAACAUGGAGCAGUUAUGCCCUUUUCAAAUUCCUGACCCACAGAAUCUGUGAGCAUAAUAAACUGGUGGUUAUUUUAUGUCGUUA